CUAGUUCUCGAGUACUUUUGAAUCAAGAAAAGCCGGAAGAAGUGGAAAUCUGAAGCUGAACCCAACCCUUAAAAUUGUCAUCAUUCAAAGUCAAGGUUUCACUCUAUGUCUCAACGGGGCCACAAUCUCUCGAUCUUAUUCAAGAAGUCAUGUCUGAGUGGAAAGCCUUCAAAUUCGGGUGGGAAUUCUAAGAUCUGUUGCUUCUGCCCAUAUUAGCGGUAAAAUCUCGAAGGUGUGUAGAAGGUGGAUGCUCGUAGUCCGAGUAAGGGUAUGUAAUCACCGUA
Molecule: long non-coding RNA, 284 nt
Filed under: Ricinus communis (castor bean)
Lineage: Eukaryota; Viridiplantae; Streptophyta; Magnoliopsida; Malpighiales; Euphorbiaceae
Description: long non-coding RNA (RCOM_LNC000723)
Source: RNAcentral